RNAcentral lists this unclassified non-coding RNA (223 nucleotides) under uncultured Gemmatimonadota bacterium. RNAcentral's name for it is "uncultured Gemmatimonadetes bacterium contains 16S-23S intergenic spacer region". It matches the Rfam family "Bacterial small subunit ribosomal RNA", at positions 976 to 1194 of the family's 1533-position model. Lineage: Bacteria; Pseudomonadati; Gemmatimonadota. The record is from RNAcentral.
UGGGUUUGACAUGCACGUGAAAGCCUUGUGAAAGCAGGGCCCUCCUUCGGGACACGUGCACAGGUGCUGCAUGGCUGUCGUCAGCUCGUGUCGUGAGAUGUUGGGUUAAGUCCCGCAACGAGCGCAACCCUUGCCCCGUGUUACUAGCAGGUAAAGCUGAGGACUCUCGGGGGACUGCCGGCGUCAAGCCGGAGGAAGGUGGGGAUGACGUAGCUAAGCCUUC